UGGGCAACCUGCCCUGUACACACGGAUAACAUACCGAAAGGUAUGCUAAUACGAGAUAAUAUGUUUUUAUCGCAUGGUAGAAGUAUCAAAGCUCCGGCGGUACAGGAUGGACCCGCGUCUGAUUAGCUAGUUGGUAAGGUAACGGCUUACCAAGGCGACGAUCAGUAGCCGACCUGAGAGGGUGAUCGGCCACAUUGGAACUGAGACACGGUCCAAACUCCUACGGGAGGCAG
Molecule: ribosomal RNA, 233 nt
Filed under: uncultured bacterium
Lineage: Bacteria
Description: partial 16S ribosomal RNA
Rfam family: Bacterial small subunit ribosomal RNA
Source: RNAcentral